Molecule: long non-coding RNA, 492 nt
Filed under: Physcomitrium patens
Lineage: Eukaryota; Viridiplantae; Streptophyta; Bryopsida; Funariales; Funariaceae
Description: long non-coding RNA (PPAT_LNC015024)
Source: RNAcentral
GGAUUUACUUCAGCUGAACAUUGUGAUGUGUUUCACAAUGUAGUUAAGUGUUUUUAUGCUGACCUUGGCUGCAGCAAGUGGUACUUCAAUAUUAAGCCAGAGUAUCUAGGCUUCUUUGGAAGUACACCUCCUAUGCAAGAGAUAUUAGUUGGUGAGGUUUGAGACAAGGGCAUUCCUGCGAGUAUGUUAAAGGUUUGUGGAUGCGUAGAAUUGGAGCUUAUCAAGAGAUGGUGUUGUCUUCCCCAGGUAAAGAAAGGUACGCCUUCCCCUUUUUUUUGUCAUUUCUCCAUUUUUUUUUUUCUAUCUUUGUUUUGUUUUUUAUUUUUAUUUUUUUUCCUCCAGUUUUAGACAUUUCAAGAAAGUGUCAAAUUGCCUGUGCCAUGAAACAUGGCCAUCUUUUUUCCAUUUCAAUGAACACCAUACCUCUCCUUUAGUUCAGCACAUAUUGGGAGAUUCAAGUUCCUUGACUAAGCCUCAUGAGUCCAUCCACAU